UGGAAGCUGGUGUGCGUUAUUGAGCUGGACACACCUGGCCAUUCCACAUGAGGAUUUUAGAGCUUUUGGGAUAGGUUCCCAUGGAAUUAGCCAAGCCCCUGCAAUUAAUGAAAAGGCUUAUAAAAGAGAAGUUUGGGAGGAAAGCAUUCAGAUUGUGCUUUGAAUUGGAGAGGAACAUGAGAAGUAUUCAGUGUGAUGUUUGCCCAUGCUCCUGUGGCUCUGGAAUACUGGGAUUUGUUUGGUGAGAAGUGGAAAAUCCAACCAGAACUGUUCCUGAAGCAAUCUGAUCACCUGUAGGAAUUGGGAAGCCCUGCUGUGGCUUGGAAAUGCAGUAGGUGAUGCUGUCCAGUAGGGAGAGCUACAUGUGCUGGGAUCUUGUGUAAAGGAUGCGUGUGCCAGCUCAUGGGAGAGCUAUGUUGGGACCUGAAGGCUUCUUCUUCUGGGAAGGAGAGAUCCUGCACACUGAGCUUGUUAGAGGACACAGCUGCCACAAUGCAGUGCUGACAAUCAGGCCUUUCCCCUGAGUCCCUGAGCUAGGGGGAUCAUGAGGACCACCUGGACACUCAACAGUCUGCAGCCUCACCUGCGUGAGAGGUCAUUCUGAACAGCAGGUUCUUACAUCAUUAAGAGGGAGGAAUGAUGCAAGGGAGAAAAAAAUAGACCAUUACUAAUUUUUUGGGACAAAUGUUGAUAUGAACAAGAUUGAAUUGUUAGGAAAACAAUAUACUGAUCAUUGUAUCUGUUAAUACACAUUCUCUGUUUUCAUAAACAUAGCUCUGCACCGGAGUAACACAUUUGAACCUUGUAUCUCUUUGUCUCUUGUGCUUCAAAGAAUCAAUUUAUAGUUCAGUGUUUCAUGUUUUGCUUUCUGAAAGAAAGGAAAAGUAAACUGGCUUAAACAAAUCAAGAAUGGUUUUCUUUACAAAAUGUCUUUUUCCGAGUAAGCUUCCAGUUUCUUUCAUUAUGUCUAUGAUGUGGGGAUUAGACAGAUCUCUGAAACCCAGAAAGACAUUAAGAUUGAUUUACAUUUGAUAUGUAUUUGUUCUAAAGUAAUAAACAGUGAAUAUUGCUGUAAAGAAAAGCUUUUGAGUUGGAUUCUGCUUCAUGCACAUUAAACCCUUAAAUGUUAGUUUUUCUGUCACUGUUAAAUGUUUGACGAGUUUGUGAGUGCUUCUUCCUCUCAGCAUAUACUGUACAUAACUUAAUCUUUAAAAAUUAAGUUGCUUCAACGCUUGAGUCUGUCCUCACAAUGCCUACUCUAAUGUGGAAGGGUGUUCACAGCUGUAGUGCUGUGGAGCAGAUAGUGGGUGUGUGGUAUAGCAUCACACAGGUGCUAAUUAACCAUGUAAUGAUCUUUCAGAGGACAGGCUGCUCUGCUCAUACAGGACUGUGAUCAUUUUUCCUCAUGUUGUGCUCAUCCACAGGAAACCACAUUAAGCUUUUCUGAGAUGUUUGCAUUUUCCUUUCAAAAUCUUGCCAACGACAAACAUUCCUACAUGAGACUGUUUGCAAUUAACAUUGGAGUCUCUUGUCUCUCCUGCGUGUUAAGUUUCUCAGGAGUCAAGCUGCAAGCAGGACUAGAGCUCAAGGCUGGAGUUGCUCGUCCAGUUCCUUAUGGUCAGCACAAGAGCAAUAUUCACUUAGAGGGGGUUGUGAUAUAAGCAAAUGCAAGGGUGUUCAAUUUUACCAACAGGAAUAAUGCAAGUUCAUUAUGUUAGCAAGCAAAUGCUUGUCCACAGGCUGCAUGCCUUUAUCUAUUUAAGUAAUAGCUGGAAUUUUACAGGCAAGGUGCAGGUAAGACGCUUGUGCAGCAACUGCCAUGGAUGAAGAUGAAGCACCCAACAUUUAUGACUGACAGGCACUCUGAGCAGCCUGCAGGAGCAAAAAAAAAAAAACGCAUGUAGGCUUAUUAAAAGAAAGAGGAGGAUGAUCCCCUGUGGGGAUGCACUCUUCGUCCAUAAAGUGACCACACAAAGAUACCCAACCCUGAAAGUCACAUUUAAGGAACGAAACAAAUACUAGUUUAUUGUAAAAACUGAACAAAACAGUCCAGUCGUAACUCGGCCGGCUGUUAUCCAGACGCUCCGGCGGUCCGCAGUCUGGAGCCCCGGGAGAGGAAACGCUCCAGUCAGGACAGCCGGCCGGAGAGACGGUGGGCACCUGGGACCGCGAGCAAGAGGCUCUGCAAGCAGAGUGCAGACCGGUUGGAUUCUCACCUUCGAACUGACCGCUCAUCUGUCCAGUUUCACGCCACACGGGAGCUCUGCGCUUCGGCGUCCAGGCUGUUGUAGAGGACAGGAAGGCCGGGGAGCUGGAGAGGAGGAACUAGGGAAUAAGACACCUGCUGAAACACCACUAACAGACCUGAGCAAGCAUUAAAGAUACAGUAGCGUGAGUGUUGAGCCCUUGUAACCGAGCGCACAGCUGUCAUUCAGGAGCCGAGCCCGCCCCCAGAGUGACCUUCCUCAGCGGACACGCCCCGUCCACCUGUUCCACAGGUGCGCCCGGCAAGAUGGCAGCGGGGAGAGUUGCUGCGUCGUGAGGACGCCGAAAAGAGUCUCCUGCUCGUUUGAGCGUGCUCUCGAAGUUUUAAAAGUUUGCGUUCAGCGUUCUUGUACUACCUUUCAUGUAACAAAAGGAUUUGAAGAACGGACCUCCACUUAUGAAAGAGUUUUUUCCAAGUUCUGCGGCUCCUGCUUCUCUGCGCUCCGACGAUCUCCUUUCCAGCUCCACUCCAGCAACUCGACGAGCGUUGGCAGGUUCUUCUCGACAAUGUGUGCUUUUUGUUACAUUUGAUUUUUGUUACCAGUGGCUUGAUCUGUAAUGUCCCGAUUCAGUGCUGUAUUUUAUUCUUGACCUGCAUGUUUUCUGUUGACUGCUGUUAUUGUAUGUGCUGCGGUUCCUGGUUCUCGGCGCUCCGACGAUCUCCGGCAAUUUUUUCUUGACAAUGUGUGCUUUUUCUUGCAUUUGAUUUGUUACCAGCGGCUUGAUCUGUAAUGUCCCGAUUC
Lepisosteus oculatus (spotted gar) is the source of this 3008-nucleotide non-coding RNA. Lineage: Eukaryota; Metazoa; Chordata; Actinopteri; Semionotiformes; Lepisosteidae. The record is from RefSeq and is a predicted model, not a curated record.